CGAGCGGACGUUUUGUUGGUGCUUGCACCGACUUAACGUUAGCGGCGGACGGGUGAGUAACACGUGGGCAACCUGCCCUGUAGUCUGGGAUAACUCCGGGAAACCGGGGCUAAUACCGGAUGAUACUUUUUAAUUCAUGUUAGAAAGUUGAAAGAUGGUUUACGCUAUCCCUACAGGAGGGGCCCGCGGCGCAUUACCUAGUUGGGGAGGUAACGGCUCACCAAGGCAACAAUGCGUAGCCAACCUGAAAGGGGGAUCGGCCACCCUGGGACGGAAACACGGCCCAAACUCCUACGGAAGGCAGCAGUAGGGAAUCUUCCACAAGGGACAAAAGUCUGAUGGAGCACCGCCCCGGGAGUGAAAAAGGAUUUCGGUUCGAAAAACUCUGUUGUAAGGAAAAAACAAGUACAGAAGUAACUGGCUGUACCUUGACGGAACCUUAUUAGAAAGCCACGGCUAACUACUUGCCACCACCCGCGGAAAUACGUAGGGGGCAAGCGUUGUCCGGAAUUAUGGGGCGUAAAGCGCGCGCAGGCGGCCCUUUAAGUCUGAUGUGAAAGCCCACGGCUCACCCGGGGAGGGUCAUUGGAAACUGGGGGACUUGAUUGCAAAAAAGGAAAGUGGAAUUCCAAGUGUAGCGGUGAAAUGCGU
Molecule: ribosomal RNA, 651 nt
Filed under: Bacillus sp. SK95
Lineage: Bacteria; Bacillati; Bacillota; Bacilli; Caryophanales; Bacillaceae
Description: bacterial SSU rRNA
Rfam family: Bacterial small subunit ribosomal RNA
Source: RNAcentral